UUUGACCUACGGGAGGCAGCAGUGGGGAAUAUUGCACAAUGGGGGAAACCCUGAUGCAGCAACGCCGCGUGAGUGAAGAAGUAUUUCGGUAUGUAAAGCUCUCUCAGCAGGGAAGAAGAAAGACGGUACCUGACUAAGAAGCCCCGGCUAACUACGUGCCAGCAGCCGCGGUAAUACGUAGGGGGCAAGCGUUAUCCGGAUUUACUGGGUGUAAAGGGAGCGUAGACGGCAGUGCAAGUCUGGAGUGAAAUGCGGG
This 256-nucleotide ribosomal RNA is filed under the name uncultured bacterium. Its description in RNAcentral is "partial 16S ribosomal RNA". It matches the Rfam family "Bacterial small subunit ribosomal RNA", at positions 331 to 605 of the family's 1533-position model. The record is from RNAcentral.